GUCAAAAGCGAGGUAAACACAACGUCAAUACUUUUUGUUUACAAGCCUACCGACAGUUGUAGGUAGAAAACGCGGUUAGACAUAUAAAUAUGUUCACUAUUGCAAAAGAAUUCAGUAACAAUCCCACUGUGAAUCAACAUGGAUCUGAAAUCGUUAUUUAGUGGAGAAGUGCAUUUAAGAGCUAUAAUUCGGCUAUCGAUCCACUGAGCCGACCCAGCAAAGACAUCAACAAUGGAGGUUAACAUCUUCCAGCCCGAGCGCAUUCACGGAAAUCCUCGGGUUAAUUAAUAAUAAGUACCCAAUAGUAUGUUACAUUUCAAUGUGAAAUAAAGUAAAUUUCAUGAAAAUUUUAA
This is a long non-coding RNA of Culex quinquefasciatus (southern house mosquito), 353 nucleotides long. RefSeq lists it as uncharacterized. NCBI's taxonomy places the organism in Eukaryota, Metazoa, Arthropoda, Insecta, Diptera, Culicidae. The transcript is spliced from 2 exons. The record is from RefSeq and is a predicted model, not a curated record.